GCGGGCGUCGUCUAGAGGCAGGACACCACGUUGUGGCCGUGAUAACCCUGGUUCGAUUCCAGGCGCCCGCA
Molecule: non-coding RNA, 71 nt
Organism: Endogone sp. FLAS-F59071
Lineage: Eukaryota; Fungi; Mucoromycota; Endogonomycetes; Endogonales; Endogonaceae
Source: the annotation of a GenBank genome assembly